Molecule: ribosomal RNA, 253 nt
Filed under: uncultured bacterium
Lineage: Bacteria
Description: partial 16S ribosomal RNA
Rfam family: Bacterial small subunit ribosomal RNA
Source: RNAcentral
UACGUAGGGUGCUAGCGUUGUCCGGAUUUAUUGGGCGUAAAGGGCGCGUAGGCGGCCGUUCAAGUCGGGGGUGAAAGCCUGUGGCUCAACCACAGAAUUGCCUUCGAUACUGGACGGCUCGAGACCGGAAGAGGUCAGUGGAACUGCGAGUGUAGAGGUGAAAUUCGUAGAUAUUCGCAAGAACACCAGUGGCGAAGGCGGCUGACUGGUCCGGUUCUGACGCUGAGGCGCGAAAGCGUGGGGAGCAAACAGG